Molecule: ribosomal RNA, 1423 nt
Filed under: Limosilactobacillus fermentum
Lineage: Bacteria; Bacillati; Bacillota; Bacilli; Lactobacillales; Lactobacillaceae
Description: bacterial SSU rRNA
Rfam family: Bacterial small subunit ribosomal RNA
Source: RNAcentral
UGCAAGUCGAACGCGUUGGCCCAAUUGAUUGAUGGUGCUUGCACCUGAUUGAUUUUGGUCGCCAACGAGUGGCGGACGGGUGAGUAACACGUAGGUAACCUGCCCAGAAGCGGGGGACAACAUUUGGAAACAGAUGCUAAUACCGCAUAACAGCGUUGUUCGCAUGAACAACGCUUAAAAGAUGGCUUCUCGCUAUCACUUCUGGAUGGACCUGCGGUGCAUUAGCUUGUUGGUGGGGUAACGGCCUACCAAGGCGAUGAUGCAUAGCCGAGUUGAGAGACUGAUCGGCCACAAUGGGACUGAGACACGGCCCAUACUCCUACGGGAGGCAGCAGUAGGGAAUCUUCCACAAUGGGCGCAAGCCUGAUGGAGCAACACCGCGUGAGUGAAGAAGGGUUUCGGCUCGUAAAGCUCUGUUGUUAAAGAAGAACACGUAUGAGAGUAACUGUUCAUACGUUGACGGUAUUUAACCAGAAAGUCACGGCUAACUACGUGCCAGCAGCCGCGGUAAUACGUAGGUGGCAAGCGUUAUCCGGAUUUAUUGGGCGUAAAGAGAGUGCAGGCGGUUUUCUAAGUCUGAUGUGAAAGCCUUCGGCUUAACCGGAGAAGUGCAUCGGAAACUGGAUAACUUGAGUGCAGAAGAGGGUAGUGGAACUCCAUGUGUAGCGGUGGAAUGCGUAGAUAUAUGGAAGAACACCAGUGGCGAAGGCGGCUACCUGGUCUGCAACUGACGCUGAGACUCGAAAGCAUGGGUAGCGAACAGGAUUAGAUACCCUGGUAGUCCAUGCCGUAAACGAUGAGUGCUAGGUGUUGGAGGGUUUCCGCCCUUCAGUGCCGGAGCUAACGCAUUAAGCACUCCGCCUGGGGAGUACGACCGCAAGGUUGAAACUCAAAGGAAUUGACGGGGGCCCGCACAAGCGGUGGAGCAUGUGGUUUAAUUCGAAGCUACGCGAAGAACCUUACCAGGUCUUGACAUCUUGCGCCAACCCUAGAGAUAGGGCGUUUCCUUCGGGAACGCAAUGACAGGUGGUGCAUGGUCGUCGUCAGCUCGUGUCGUGAGAUGUUGGGUUAAGUCCCGCAACGAGCGCAACCCUUGUUACUAGUUGCCAGCAUUAAGUUGGGCACUCUAGUGAGACUGCCGGUGACAAACCGGAGGAAGGUGGGGACGACGUCAGAUCAUCAUGCCCCUUAUGACCUGGGCUACACACGUGCUACAAUGGACGGUACAACGAGUCGCGAACUCGCGAGGGCAAGCAAAUCUCUUAAAACCGUUCUCAGUUCGGACUGCAGGCUGCAACUCGCCUGCACGAAGUCGGAAUCGCUAGUAAUCGCGGAUCAGCAUGCCGCGGUGAAUACGUUCCCGGGCCUUGUACACACCGCCCGUCACACCAUGAGAGUUUGUAACACCCAAAGUCGGUGGGGU